This 164-nucleotide unclassified non-coding RNA is filed under the name uncultured fungus. Its description in RNAcentral is "sequence contains ITS1, 5.8S rRNA gene". The record is from RNAcentral. Lineage: Eukaryota; Fungi.
AUGAUUUGACCCUGUUCUGGGUCUUCAUUCUUCGGCUGUGCGCCUUUCCCCGCUGCACGCCGUCGAACUUCACACACCAUGUGCACCUUUCGGUCGCGUUUCGGACGCUUCCGCUUUUUUACAUCCAACCACAAGUCUCGAAUGUCUUCUCAAUAACGAAAUAA